This 309-nucleotide ribosomal RNA is filed under the name uncultured bacterium. RNAcentral describes it as "partial 16S ribosomal RNA". It matches the Rfam family "Bacterial small subunit ribosomal RNA", at positions 504 to 807 of the family's 1533-position model. The record is from RNAcentral.
AGAGACAGCAGCCGCCACGGUAAUACGUAGGUGGCAAGCGUUGUCCGGAAUUAUUGGGCGUAAAGCGCGCGCAGGUGGUUUAAUAAGUCUGAUGUGAAAGCCCACGGCUCAACCGUGGAGGGUCAUUGGAAACUGUUAAACUUGAGUGCAGGAGAGAAAAGUGGAAUUCCUAGUGUAGCGGUGAAAUGCGUAGAGAUUAGGAGGAACACCAGUGGCGAAGGCGGCUUUUUGGCCUGUAACUGACACUGAGGCGCGAAAGCGUGGGGAGCAAACAGGAUUAGAUACCCGUGUAGUCCCUGUCUCUUAUAC